Molecule: RNA transcript, 1881 nt
Organism: Brassica napus (rape)
Lineage: Eukaryota; Viridiplantae; Streptophyta; Magnoliopsida; Brassicales; Brassicaceae
Exons: 10
Source: RefSeq, a predicted model, not a curated record
CUUUUUGAAAUGGCAUAUUCCAAUAUUUACAAGGCCCACACUACUCUGAAAACCUCUUGCGUCCCCUGCAAUGUUCACGAUCUCUCUCAAAUCCUCAGACUAAUCUGUAACGAUGAGAGUUUGUCUUUGCUUCUCACUAUUAAAUCGGUCUUUCAAUCUCUCCCACUACGCUUUAUUCAGUUACCUUUUUCUGUAAAGUUCAGAUGAAAACCCUAAAAGACAUCUAUAUAAACCGUCUUAGAAAUCUUCGGCUCAAGCACCGGUAGUUGUUCCGGUACGGUCAUCAAGUGUCUUCUGCGAUUCUGAGAAACCCGAGAUCUCAACAAGGAAGGGGAACUGAUUGGAGUGGACAUGCUCCUUCUUGAUCAGAAGGUAACGCUUAUCCAAGUGUCGGUUUACCACUUUCCGACAUCUUCUGAGAGAAGGUGCAACUUACAAGAUUUGAUGAGAGGUGCUUCAAUUCCAUUGGAGCUCUUUACGUUUCGUGACUAUGCAGCGUUAGUGUCUUUGCCCAAUACUAAUACUCAGUUACCUGUGAUCAGGCUCGGACAGCUCUACAAAUUAUGGUUAACAUACAAAUUGACAGUUCUACAACUGUUAAUCUUUGUGUUUACAACACACAAGCCGACCGGCUAAAAGAAAAACUAUUGGCAAUGGGUGUGCCGAAGGUGGUCGUCGCUAUUAGCAUAAACUCCAAGUUCGUUCGAGGGAGUCUUUCCGUAGAUGCUACCCAUGGGACACAUCUCUACUUUGACGACGAAACAAGAGCCAGCGAGACCUUUGUUGCCAGUUUUCCUGAUCACCACUUUGACUCUUCCACGAGUCCACCCAAAAAAGGAAGCGUAAAAAAGAUCGAAGCGGUCCAUGUGUCAGAGCUCAACACAUAUGUGACCAACUCCCCACCUCAGGUUCAUUCUCAAUGUAUUUCCAUGGUGAUUUUGCACAAUCUAAUUACCAUUCAAGAACCCGUGUUGUAGAGAUAAUGGUCCUAACUCAUUAGCCAAUUAAGUGUGUGAAAGGAGUAGGUAAAUAUCAACGGAGAUAGUCGCUGAUCUCUUGACUAUACCUUUCCCUUGCAAAGCUUAAAAGUAAAAUAUUUUAAUGUCUGAUUUCAUGUAUAUGUUUAUAGGAUUGCAACAUUUAGAUUGCCACUGAUGGGAACAUGAAAGUAUAAUAUUUUUAGUAGCGUUAUAUUAGCUCUUUGACUAUAUUUUUCAGAUGCAAUACUUACUGUUGUGCUCUCAGUGUGGAGAAGCAGACUCUUAUUUCUCAAAUCUGCUAAACUUUUUCCCAACGUACCUGAUUGUUCGGCCUUGAAUCUGUUUGCAUUAAAAGCCUUUGACCUUCCUCAUCCUACCAAGGGUCGAUCAUCUUCGUAGGUAUCUUAUUUACGCGUUACUGCUCUCCGAUGAGGCGAUGACCAUACAGCACACUGGAAACAAAAAUACCAAGCCUCUAAAUGUGUCCCCAAAUCUCACUACCGGCCUACCGUCUACAGAUAUAGCACGAUUCAAGUCGGAGCGUCUUAGAGACCAUGGAGAAGAAGGAACAAAUGCAGUUUCUUAUGAACCUGCUGCAGACAAGACAAGACACCAAGGAGAAAUGCUUCGUUGAACCCCUUUUGAUAUGCAAGAGCCCGCACAAUACUCACUCGUUUCUGUUUUUAAUGAUUAUUCCAAUAGAGGAGAAACAAUUAACACAAAACGUGUGUUGGUUGUUUAGUCUUCAUGCGAGAUAUUCAUGUGAAAUACUAGCUCCUCUUUCACUUUUUUGGUGCGACGAGUAUGCUGUGAUUAAAUUAUUUGAUUGUGUUGAUUACUUGAUUUUGUUGAGAAUGAAAUUUACUUGCAUAAUUGUAAUAUGAUGCUUGAUUUGUCGUGA